RNAcentral lists this ribosomal RNA (373 nucleotides) under uncultured organism. RNAcentral describes it as "partial 16S ribosomal RNA". It matches the Rfam family "Bacterial small subunit ribosomal RNA", at positions 527 to 896 of the family's 1533-position model. The record is from RNAcentral.
GUAGGUGGCAAGCGUUGUCCGGAAUUAUUGGGCGUAAAGCGCGCGCAGGUGGUCUUUAAGUCUGAUGUGAAAGCCCCCGGGCUCAACCGGGGAGGGUCAUUGGAAACUGGGGAACUUGAGUGCAGGAGAGGAAAGUGGAAUUCCACGUGUAGCGGUGAAAUGCGUAGAUAUGUGGAGGAACACCAGUGGCGAAGGCGACUUUCUGGCCUGUAACUGACACUGAGGCGCGAAAGCGUGGGGAGCAAACAGGAUUAGAUACCCUGGUAGUCCACGCCGUAAACGAUGAGUGCUAAGUGUUGGGGGGUUUCCGGCCCCUCAGUGCUGCAGCUAACGCAUUAAGCACUCCGCCUGGGGAGUACGGUCGCAAAGACUG